RNAcentral lists this non-coding RNA (86 nucleotides) under unclassified sequences. Its description in RNAcentral is "Flavo-1 RNA". It matches the Rfam family "Flavo-1 RNA". The record is from RNAcentral.
GCUGUUUUGCGUUAGGGAUUGUAGUGGAAAUCCUUUUGUUUUUUCCUUUAAAAAACAAAAGAUUGCAACGGAAAGCCCGCUCGAAC